This 655-nucleotide ribosomal RNA is filed under the name uncultured bacterium. RNAcentral describes it as "bacterial SSU rRNA". The stretch from base 1 to 555 matches the Rfam family "Bacterial small subunit ribosomal RNA", at positions 338 to 873 of the family's 1533-position model. The record is from RNAcentral.
CCUACGGGAGGCAGCAGUGGGGAAUUUUGGACAAUGGGCGAAAGCCUGAUCCAGCCAUGCCGCGUGAGUGAAGAAGGCCUUCGGGUUGUAAAGCUCUUUCAGCCGGAAAGAAAUCGCGCAGGCUAAUACUCUGCGUGGAUGACGGUACCGGAAGAAGAAGCACCGGCUAACUACGCGCCAGCAGCCGCGGUAAUACGUAGGGUGCGAGCGUUAAUCGGAAUUACUGGGCGUAAAGCGUGCGCAGGCGGUUAUAUAAGACAGAUGUGAAAUCCCCGGGCUCAACCUGGGAACUGCGUUUGUGACUGUAUGACUAGAGUACGGCAGAGGGAGGUGGAAUUCCGCGUGUAGCAGUGAAAUGCGUAGAUAUGCGGAGGAACACCGAUGGCGAAGGCAGCCUCCUGGGCCAGUACUGACGCUCAUGCACGAAAGCGUGGGGAGCAAACAGGAUUAGAUACCCUGGUAGUCCACGCCCUAAACGNUGUCAACUAGUUGUUCGGUGUAGGAGACUCUAUGUAGUAACGACGAGACGUACGACGUGGUAAGGUUAGUACCGUUCCGUUCGGGGUAGGUUACGGGUUCCGGCCGAACGGUUAAACGUUACGAAGGAAGUUAGACGGCGUUGAGACGNGCCGACGGACGACGACGAGGGAGGAGG